AACGAACGCUGGCGGCAUGCCUAACACAUGCAAGUCGAACGAGACCUUCGGGUCUAGUGGCGCACGGGGGCGUAACGCGUGGGAACCUGCCCUUAGGUUCGGAAUAACUCCCCGAAAGGGGUGCUAAUACCGGAUAAUGUCUUCGGACCAAAGAUUUAUCGCCUUUGGAUGGGCCCGCGUUGGAUUAGCUAGUUGGUAGGGUAAAAGCCUACCAAGGCGACGAUCCAUAGCUGGUCUGAGAGGAUGCUCAGCCACACUGGGACUGAGGCACGGCCCAGACUCCUACGGGAGGGAGCAGUGGGGAAUAUUGAACGAGGGGCGAAAGCCUGAUACAGCAAUGCCGCGUGAGUGAUGAAGGCCUUAGGGUUGUAAAGCUCUUUUACCCGGGAUGAUAAUGACAGUACCGGGAGAAUAAGCUCCGGCUAACUACGUG
This 433-nucleotide ribosomal RNA is filed under the name uncultured bacterium. RNAcentral describes it as "partial 16S ribosomal RNA". It matches the Rfam family "Bacterial small subunit ribosomal RNA", at positions 29 to 507 of the family's 1533-position model. The record is from RNAcentral.